This 430-nucleotide ribosomal RNA is filed under the name uncultured bacterium. RNAcentral describes it as "bacterial SSU rRNA". It matches the Rfam family "Bacterial small subunit ribosomal RNA", at positions 355 to 776 of the family's 1533-position model. The record is from RNAcentral.
UCGAGAGGCUUCGGCAAUGGGGGAAACCCUGACCGAGCGACGCCGCGUGGAGGAUGAAGGCCUUUGGGUCGUAAACUCCUUUCGUGGGGAAAGAAUGUGUCCGAGGUGAAUAAUCUCGGGCAUUGACGGUACCCCAAGAAGAAGCUCCGGCUAACUCCGUGCCAGCAGCCGCGGUAAUACGGGGGGAGCAAGCGUUGUUCGGAAUCACUGGGCGUAAAGGGCGUGUAGGCGGUUCGGUAAGUGGGAUGUGAAAUGCCCCGGCUCACCCGGGGACCGGCAUCCCAAACUGCUGAGCUUGAGUACAGGAGAGGGUGGGGGAAUUCCAGGUGUAGCGGUGAAAUGCGUAGAUAUCUGGAGGAACACCGGUGGCGAAGGCGCCCACCUGGCCUGCUACUGACGCUGAUGCGCGAAAGCUAGGGGAGCAAACGGG